UACGUAGGGAGCGAGCGUUGUCCGGAUUUACUGGGUGUAAAGGGUGCGUAGGCGGGACUGCAAGUCAGACGUGAAAUACCGAGGCUUAACUUCGGGGCUGCGUUUGAAACUGUGGUUCUUGAGUGAAGUAGAGGCAGGCGGAAUUCCUAGUGUAGCGGUGAAAUGCGUAGAUAUUAGGAGGAACACCAGUGGCGAAGGCGGCCUGCUGGGCUUUAACUGACGCUGAAGCACGAAAGCAUGGGGAGCAAACAGGAUUAGAUACCCCCGGUAGUCCGGG
Molecule: ribosomal RNA, 277 nt
Filed under: uncultured microorganism
Description: partial small subunit ribosomal RNA
Rfam family: Bacterial small subunit ribosomal RNA
Source: RNAcentral